Molecule: ribosomal RNA, 225 nt
Filed under: Triticum aestivum (bread wheat)
Lineage: Eukaryota; Viridiplantae; Streptophyta; Magnoliopsida; Poales; Poaceae
Description: partial small subunit ribosomal RNA
Source: RNAcentral
AUGUGUGUUUCUAAUAUGAAGCAAGCUAUCAUGGAGAUUCACAUUUCAGUUGUCGCACUUCAAAGCUCUACAAUUACAACAUCUCAGUUCCUAGAGGAAAAAGGCAUGUACUCAGAUGAUGAAGUGCCUGAACAAGGCUACAGUGGCUACUCAGAUGAAAAUUCAGCCGAUGAUAUUCAUCAAGACAUGGAUGAGGACUAUGCUCACUAUGUCCGAUCCCCAUGA